ACGGUGGAAUGAGCGGCGGACGGGUGAGUAACACGUAAAGAACCUGCCCAUAGGUCUGGGAUAACCACGAGAAAUCGGGGCUAAUACCGGAUGUGUCAUCGGACCGCAUGGUCCGCUGAUGAAAGGCGCUCCGGCGUCGCCCAUGGAUGGCUUUGCGGUGCAUUAGCUAGUUGGUGGGGUAACGGCCCACCAAGGCGACGAUGCAUAGCCGACCUGAGAGGGUGAUCGGCCACACUGGGACUGAGACACGGCCCAGACUCCUACGGGAGGCAGCAGUAGGGAAUCUUCCACAAUGGACGAAAGUCUGAUGGAGCAACGCCGCGUGAACGAUGAAGGCUUUCGGGUCGUAAAGUUCUGUUGUAAGGGAAGAACAAGUGCCGCAGGCAAUGGCGGCACCUUGACGGUACCUUGCGAGAAAGCCACGGCUAACUA
RNAcentral lists this ribosomal RNA (432 nucleotides) under Exiguobacterium profundum. RNAcentral describes it as "bacterial SSU rRNA". It matches the Rfam family "Bacterial small subunit ribosomal RNA", at positions 83 to 503 of the family's 1533-position model. The record is from RNAcentral. Lineage: Bacteria; Bacillati; Bacillota; Bacilli; Caryophanales.